This 305-nucleotide ribosomal RNA is filed under the name uncultured bacterium. RNAcentral describes it as "bacterial SSU rRNA". It matches the Rfam family "Bacterial small subunit ribosomal RNA", at positions 338 to 661 of the family's 1533-position model. The record is from RNAcentral.
CCUACGGGGGGCAGCAGUGGGGAAUAUUGCACAAUGGGGGAAACCCUGAUGCAGCAACGCCGCGUGAGUGAUGACGGCCUUCGGGUUGUAAAGCUCUGUCUUCAGGGACGAUAAUGACGGUACCUGGGGAGGAAGCUCCGGCUAACUACGUGCCAGCAGCCGCGGUAAUACGUAGGGAGCGAGCGUUGUCCGGAAUUACUGGGUGUAAAGGGAGCGUAGGCGGGGAUGCAAGUUGGGUGUCAAAACUACCGGCUCAACUGGUAGUCGCACUCAAAACUGCAGCUCUUGAGUGAAGUAGAGGCAGG